This 428-nucleotide ribosomal RNA is filed under the name uncultured bacterium. Its description in RNAcentral is "bacterial SSU rRNA". It matches the Rfam family "Bacterial small subunit ribosomal RNA", at positions 355 to 775 of the family's 1533-position model. The record is from RNAcentral.
UGGGGAAUCUUGCGCAAUGCGCGAAAGCGUGACGCAGCAACGCCGCGUGGGGGAAGAAGGCCUUCGGGUUGUAAACCCCUUUCAGGAGGGACGAAGCGUGGACGGUUAAUAGCCGAUUCACGUGACGGUACCUCCAGAAGAAGCCCCGGCUAACUACGUGCCAGCAGCCGCGGUAAUACGUAGGGGGCAAGCGUUGUCCGGAAUCAUUGGGCGUAAAGCGCGUGUAGGCGGUUCGGUAAGUCGGCUGUGAAAGUCCAGGGCUCAACCCUGGGAUGCCGGUCGAUACUGCCGGACUAGAGUUCGGAAGAGGCGAGUGGAAUUCCCGGUGUAGCGGUGAAAUGCGCAGAUAUCGGGAGGAACACCAAUGGCGAAGGCAGCUCGCUGGGACGUUACUGACGCUGAGACGCGAAAGCGUGGGGAGCAAACAG